RNAcentral lists this transfer RNA (86 nucleotides) under Ilyonectria destructans. RNAcentral describes it as "tRNA-Tyr". It matches the Rfam family "tRNA". From Rfam's summary of the family: Transfer RNA (tRNA) molecules are approximately 80 nucleotides in length. Their secondary structure includes four short double-helical elements and three loops (D, anti-codon, and T loops). The record is from RNAcentral. RNAcentral also lists the same sequence under 1 other name. Lineage: Eukaryota; Fungi; Ascomycota; Sordariomycetes; Hypocreales; Nectriaceae.
CCCCGAGUAGCUCAGCUGGAAGAGCGUUCGGCUGUAACUGCCCCUUCGUUACCGAAAGGUCACCUGUUCGAGCCAGGUCUCGGGGA